This 495-nucleotide ribosomal RNA is filed under the name uncultured bacterium. RNAcentral's name for it is "partial 16S ribosomal RNA". It matches the Rfam family "Bacterial small subunit ribosomal RNA", at positions 28 to 507 of the family's 1533-position model. The record is from RNAcentral.
GACGAAUGCUGGCGGCGUGCCUAAUACAUGCAAGUAGAACGCUGAAGGAGGAGCUUGCUUCUCUGGAUGAGUUGCGAACGGGUGAGUAACGCGUAGGUAACCUGCCUGGUAGCGGGGGAUAACUAUUGGAAACGAUAGCUAAUACCGCAUAAGAGUAGAUGCUGCAUGACAUUUGCUUAAAAGGUGCAAUUGCAUCACUACCAGAUGGACCUGCGUUGUAUUAGCUAGUUGGUGGGGUAGCGGCUCACCAAGGCGACGAUACAUAGCCGACCUGAGAGGGGGAUCGGCCACCCUGGGACUGAGACACGCCCCAGACUCCUACAGGAGGCAGCAGUAGGGAAUCGUCGGCAAUGGACGGAAGUCUGACCGAGCAACGCCGCGUGCGUGAAGAAGGUUUUCGGGUCGUAAAGCUCUGUUGUAAGGGAAGAACGAGUGUGAGAGUGGAAAGUUCACACUGUGACGGUAUCUUACCAGAAAGGGACGGCUAACUACGUG